UACAGACUGAGCUGUCUUAAUGUUGCUCCA
This 30-nucleotide non-coding RNA is filed under the name Rattus norvegicus (Norway rat). Lineage: Eukaryota; Metazoa; Chordata; Mammalia; Rodentia; Muridae. The record is from RNAcentral.